CAAUGCCAAGAGCUGGGCACUCCUUGGGAGAAAGCUGGGUUCCCUGAGUCAAGGGCCAGAAGUGGGCACCGCCACUGAGAGGGCUUCCUGAGGCAGAGUGAAAGGCAGAGGGCAGAGGUGGCUGAGGAGACAGAAGGAAAGGCCUCUCGGGGCACUGCCCCUCCCUCCAUGCACAUGUCACAUCAUCCUGCCUGGUCCUUCCUUGAAGAACUGGGGGUCACACAAGAAGGCUGUGAUUCCUCAGACAAGGACUUGACUAAGACAGGCACAGGUGCACAGGGGCCAUCAGGAGAGAAGGUGGUGAUCAUAAGAGGGGGCCAUAGGCCUGCACCCCAUGGUGAGCUGGGACCUGACCCUUUACUCCUUCUGGGGAAGGCCUCCUGCCCCCGUGGCUCCUCCAUUUCCCAUUCCCAGCUCAGACUGAGCUCACACAAGUGGCAAAGUGUCAACCAGCAUCCAGUGGGUCCCCGGCCCAACAAGUGCAUGUUUUCCACUCCUACCUCGGGUCCAGGGCCAGCCAGGGCAGAUGAAGGAAAGGGCUGCAGCAGGGGAGCCAUCACCCCUUUCUUCUCUCUUCUUCCCUGAUCCCCACCACCAGGGCAGAGCUUCUUUCUAUUCCCUUUGCUUUGCUUUCUCUCUCUCCUUUGUCUCUACUCCCCUGUGUCUCUCUCAUCUCUCUCUCCUACCUUCACUCCCUCUCUGUUCUCAUCCCCUCCCCUACCCUCCCUGCCUCCUGAGCCUGGCCUCACUCACUUCCUUGCCUCAGCAUCAUGGGCCAUCCCUGGAGGUGUCCUGGUCCCGGCAGAAUGCUGGACACCCAGUGAGUGCCAUCAAGGAAUAUUUCCCCAAGCUGUUACGCCUGGUAAGUGCCUACAUUUGUGAUUGUCUCUCACUCACAUUGAUGGCCUCCACAUCUGCCCCCAAGCCCUUUGGGGCUCGCCUAGGUUAUAUGUUUGCAUGAGACCUUUAUCCAUUUUAAGGGACAGGGACUCCUGAGAAAGACAUGGAUAUAUUUGGUGGGAAAACGCCCAUGCUAACGCCCACACACACAAAAGUUGCGUUUAAUAGUAGAGACUUCCAAGACCUCAUGAUGAAGACGCCCACUGUAGUCUUGCCCAUGGAUUUU
RNAcentral lists this long non-coding RNA (1126 nucleotides) under Equus caballus (horse). Its description in RNAcentral is "lncRNA (ENSECAG00000056863.1)". Lineage: Eukaryota; Metazoa; Chordata; Mammalia; Perissodactyla; Equidae. The record is from RNAcentral.